AUCGCUUCUCAGCCUUUUGGCUAAGAUCAAGUGUGAAAUGCCAUCAGUCAUGGAAGGAAACAGGUUUAUUUGUUGACCAGAAUUUUAAAAAGAAAAGUUGAAGGGGAAUGACUGAAAGAGCAUAUAUUUGUGCUUUUCACUUUAUUAUAGAAGAGAACCAGAUUUUCUUU
This is a small nuclear RNA of 170 nucleotides. Its record names the gene U2. It matches the Rfam family "U2 spliceosomal RNA". Rfam says of the family: U2 is a small nuclear RNA (snRNA) component of the spliceosome (involved in pre-mRNA splicing). Complementary binding between U2 snRNA (in an area lying towards the 5' end but 3' to hairpin I) and the branchpoint sequence (BPS) of the intron results the bulging out of an unpaired adenosine, on the BPS, which initiates a nucleophilic attack at the intronic 5' splice site, thus starting the first of two transesterification reactions that mediate splicing. The record is from Ensembl.